RNAcentral lists this non-coding RNA (48 nucleotides) under Schistosoma mattheei. Lineage: Eukaryota; Metazoa; Platyhelminthes; Trematoda; Strigeidida; Schistosomatidae. The record is from RNAcentral.
GUCCGACUGACGAGUCCCAAACAGGACGAAAUGCGUUCCAAACCGGAU